This 497-nucleotide ribosomal RNA is filed under the name uncultured bacterium. Its description in RNAcentral is "partial 16S ribosomal RNA". It matches the Rfam family "Bacterial small subunit ribosomal RNA", at positions 28 to 507 of the family's 1533-position model. The record is from RNAcentral.
GACGAACGCUGGCGGCGUGCCUAAUACAUGCAAGUUGAGCGCUGAAGGUUGGUACUUGUCCCAACUGGAUGAGCAGCGAACGGGUGAGUAACGCGUGGGGAAUCUGCCUUUGAGCGGGGGACAACAUUUGGAAACGAAUGCUAAUACCGCAUAAAAACUUUAAACACAAGUUUUAAGUUUGAAAGAUGCAAUUGCAUCACUCAAAGAUGAUCCCGCGUUGUAUUAGCUAGUUGGUGAGGUAAAGGCUCACCAAGGCGAUGAUACAUAGCCGACCUGAGAGGGUGAUCGGCCACAUUGGGACUGAGACACGGCCCAAACUCCUACGGGAGGCAGCAGUAGGGAAUCUUCGGCAAUGGACGAAAGUCUGACCGAGCAACACCGCGUGAGUGAAGAAGGUUUUCGGAUCGUAAAACUCUGUUGGUAGAGAAGAACGUUGGUGAGAGUGGAAAGCUCAUCAAGUGACGGUAACUACCCAGAAAGGGACGGCUAACUACGUG